RNAcentral lists this microRNA precursor (222 nucleotides) under Phaeodactylum tricornutum. RNAcentral describes it as "miR5475 stem-loop (pti-MIR5475)". Lineage: Eukaryota; Bacillariophyta; Bacillariophyceae; Surirellales; Neidiaceae. The record is from miRBase by way of RNAcentral.
CGGUUUGGCGCGAACUGCGGAAAUUUUUGCGGCUGAUCGUCUUGUGAUACCGGAUUUACAAGUAACGAAAAUGGACAACUUUAAGAGUCUCUGUGUCGGGGCCAGUGACUGGAUCGAGAUCGAAGAAUGCAAUGAGAAGGUAUGUUGUUUCUCGAUUUCCUGUCGGUCUAUUUAUCUUUUUUGAAUGGGCGUCGGAGGAUUAACGUCGUUUUUACCAAGAUC